GAGAGGCAGCAGACAUGGGCAAGAGCUUCGGGCAGCUGGUCGCCACACAGGUACCUUUUAACAAGGUCAAGCUACUGAAGGGGGUGCAAGAAAAAGAUGUGGCCCUAGGUCAACUUGCACAGUUCAAGGACAUGCUGAAAACCCUAACAAGCAGCAUUAAAGAGGAAGCUGGAUUGUGGGAUAUGGCCACCAUGGCCUUGGUUGCAAGCUGUUGGACGUAUUCCAAGGCCUGUUCAUGGCAUGUGCUGAUGCACAAACUGAAGCACUUAAAGGCAGCUCUGAGACAUACAGUGAGCACACCACAAUAAUGCAAUAACUCUUUUGGAUCUUUCUUUUUUGUGAUUUGCUAACAUACCGUCCAAAAGCAAUCUGGUGAACUCUCUGUACUGCAGACAGUAAAUCUGGCGUUUCACGGUAAUCAAUGGUCUCGCACCAGCUGUACAACUCUCCUAACAUCUGUCUCACAGUUUUGCAUUGUGCUGGAUGAUCUUGGUUUGAGUCAUUUCCAGAUGACUGGCUGCCUGAUGACUGACAGAUGACCGAUGACACCCCUUCAUCAGACUGAGAGAUAUCCUGUGGACAGUCCUCCAGAGCGAGGAGCUCUGAAACCUUUUGGCACACACACAUUUCUUUAAGGCUGCUAGCAAG
Molecule: long non-coding RNA, 648 nt
Organism: Alosa sapidissima (American shad)
Lineage: Eukaryota; Metazoa; Chordata; Actinopteri; Clupeiformes; Clupeidae
Exons: 4
Source: RefSeq, a predicted model, not a curated record